GACGAACGCUGGCGGCGUGCCUAAUACAUGCAAGUAGAACGCUGAAGAGAGGAGCUUACUCUUCUUGGAUGAGUUGCGAACGGGUGAGUAACGCGUAGGUAACCUGCCUUGUAGCGGGGGAUAACUAUUGGAAACGAUAGCUAAUACCGCAUAACAAUGGAUGACACAUGUCAUUUAUUUGAAAGGGGCAAUUGCUCCACUACAAGAUGGACCUGCGUUGUAUUAGCUAGUAGGUGAGGUAAUGGCUCACCUAGGCGACGAUACAUAGCCGACCUGAGAGGGUGAUCGGCCACACUGGGACUGAGACACGGCCCAGGCUCCUACGGGAGGCAGCAGUAGGGAAUCUUCGGCAAUGGGGGCAACCCUGACCGAGCAACGCCGCGUGAGUGAAGAAGGUUUUCGGAUCGUAAAGCUCGGUUGUAAGUCAAGAACGGGUGUGAGAGUGGAAAGUUCACACUGUGACGGUAGCUUACCAGAAAGGGACGGCUAACUACGUG
RNAcentral lists this ribosomal RNA (497 nucleotides) under uncultured bacterium. RNAcentral's name for it is "partial 16S ribosomal RNA". It matches the Rfam family "Bacterial small subunit ribosomal RNA", at positions 28 to 507 of the family's 1533-position model. The record is from RNAcentral.